GACGAACGCUGGCGGCGUGCUUAACACAUGCAAGUCGAACGGAAAGGCCCUGCUUUUGUGGGGUGCUCGAGUGGCGAACGGGUGAGUAACACGUGAGUAACCUGCCCUUGACUUUGGGAUAACUUCAGGAAACUGGGGCUAAUACCGGAUAGGAGCUCCUGCUGCAUGGUGGGGGUUGGAAAGUUUCGGCGGGUGGGGAUGGACUCGCGGCUUAUCAGCUUGUUGGUGGGGUAGUGGCUUACCAAGGCUUUGACGGGUAGCCGGCCUGAGAGGGUGACCGGCCACCUUGGGACUGCGGUACGGACCAGACUCCUACGGGAGGCAGCAGUGGGGAAUAUUGCACAGUGGGCGGAAGCCUGAUGCAGCAACGCCGCGUGCGGGAUGACGGCCUUCGGGUUGUAAACCGCUUUCGCCUGUGACGAAGCGUGAGUGACGGUACUGGGUAAAGAAGCACCGGCUAACUACGUG
This 468-nucleotide ribosomal RNA is filed under the name uncultured bacterium. Its description in RNAcentral is "partial 16S ribosomal RNA". It matches the Rfam family "Bacterial small subunit ribosomal RNA", at positions 28 to 507 of the family's 1533-position model. The record is from RNAcentral.